RNAcentral lists this ribosomal RNA (203 nucleotides) under uncultured alveolate. RNAcentral's name for it is "partial Bacterial large subunit ribosomal RNA". It matches the Rfam family "Bacterial large subunit ribosomal RNA", at positions 2270 to 2473 of the family's 2925-position model. The record is from RNAcentral.
UGACUGGGGCGGUCGCCUCCUAAAAAGUAACGGAGGUGUACAAAGGUUUCCUCAGGCUGGACAGAAAUCAGCCGGAGAGUGCAAAGGCAUAAGGAAGCUUGACUGUGAGACCUACAAGUCGAACAGAAACGAAAGUUGGUCUUAGUGAUCCGACGGUACCGCGUGGAAGGGCCGUCGCUCAACGGAUAAAAGUUACUCUAGGG